Molecule: ribosomal RNA, 497 nt
Filed under: uncultured bacterium
Lineage: Bacteria
Description: partial 16S ribosomal RNA
Rfam family: Bacterial small subunit ribosomal RNA
Source: RNAcentral
GAUGAACGCUGGCGGCGUGCCUAAUACAUGCAAGUCGAGCGAACAGACGAGGAGCUUGCUCCUCUGACGUUAGCGGCGGACGGGUGAGUAACACGUGGAUAACCUACCUAUAAGACUGGGAUAACUUCGGGAAACCGGAGCUAAUACCGGAUAAUAUAUUGAACCGCAUGGUUCAAUAGUGAAAGACGGUUUUGCUGUCACUUAUAGAUGGAUCCGCGCCGCAUUAGCUAGUUGGUAAGGUAACGGCUUACCAAGGCAACGAUGCGUAGCCGACCUGAGAGGGUGAUCGGCCACACUGGACCUGAGACACGGUCCAGCCUCCUACGGGAGGAAGCAGUAGGGAAUCUUCCGCAAUGGGCGAAAGCCUGACGGAGCAACGCCGCGUGAGUGAUGAAGGUCUUCGGAUCUUAAAACUCUGUUAUUAGGGAAGAACAAAUGUGUAAGUAACUAUGCACGUCUUGACGGUACCUAAUCAGAAAGCCACGGCUAACUACGUG